This 389-nucleotide ribosomal RNA is filed under the name Staphylococcus aureus. Its description in RNAcentral is "bacterial SSU rRNA". It matches the Rfam family "Bacterial small subunit ribosomal RNA", at positions 1 to 379 of the family's 1533-position model. Lineage: Bacteria; Bacillati; Bacillota; Bacilli; Caryophanales; Staphylococcaceae. The record is from RNAcentral.
UUUAUGGAGAGUUUGAUCCUGGCUCAGGAUGAACGCUGGCGGCGUGCCUAAUACAUGCAAGUCGAGCGAACGGACGAGAAGCUUGCUUCUCUGAUGUUAGCGGCGGACGGGUGAGUAACACGUGGAUAACCUACCUAUAAGACUGGGAUAACUUCGGGAAACCGGAGCUAAUACCGGAUAAUAUUUUGAACCGCAUGGUUCAAAAGUGAAAGACGGUCUUGCUGUCACUUAUAGAUGGAUCCGCGCUGCAUUAGCUAGUUGGUAAGGUAACGGCUUACCAAGGCAACGAUGCAUAGCCGACCUGAGAGGGUGAUCGGCCACACUGGAACUGAGACACGGUCCAGACUCCUACGGGAGGCAGCAGUAGGGAAUCUUCCGCAAUGGGCGAA